This is a non-coding RNA of Leptonychotes weddellii (Weddell seal), 1711 nucleotides long. The record is from RefSeq and is a predicted model, not a curated record. Lineage: Eukaryota; Metazoa; Chordata; Mammalia; Carnivora; Phocidae.
CAACAUUAGCAGCACCAUGGGAGGGAAGAUAUGGAUGCUCCCUGGCUUCUCACACGAUAAUGAUGCUCAGCUUCUUUCUUGCUCUUCUCAUCAGAAGUUGAAAAGUUGAAGUACUUGGUAGACUCUUCCUUCCUGGAGAGAGAGGGCUUGUUGGUAUAUUGUUGGCCUCCAGCAAUGCUUACAGAGGCUGUUGCCAGAACAAAUAAGCCUAAAGGGAUUCGAGGAAAUCAUGGUUGGAUCACCCGGGAAAAAAUGCAGUGCAAGCCCCUCCAUGAUGGAGUGAAGAAAAGAGAUGUGGCUAUCCUGGGGCAGUUAAGUAAAUGUGAGGAAGGAUGGUGCAUGAACACAAGCCCCUGGAGUGGACAUAAAUGUUCACCAGGCUUCAGGUGGCUUUCCAUCCAUCCACCCAUCCAUCCAUCCAUCCAUCCAUCCAUCUAUGCAUUGCCUCCUUCAGUAAGAAUUUACCCUAUACCUGGCUGUGUGCUUGGCUCCGGGGAUUCAACAGUUACCAAACCAUAAUCCCUGCCUUCCCAGAGUUAACAUCUAAGGUCUCAGUGGAAUCAAGCAAACAAGCAGGGGUGCUGCACAUUUCACCAGCACCUAGUGUACAGAAGCCAGGGCAGCCAUACAGAAACUCCAUGGGCCCCCCACAGUUUCCCACAGAUGUGACUGUCAGUGUGAUGAUUAACAACACAGGCUUGGAGCCAGACCAUCUGGGUUCACAUUUCAGUCUACCACUUUCUACCCAAGUAACUUAAGGUAAGUUACUUAACCUCUGUGGAUUCUUCCUGUAUAAAAUGAGGAUGCUAAUGAUCAUGCCUGUGACAGAGUUGUGAUGAAGUCUGCAGCAAUGAUAUAAAUGUUAGAAUUUAUUUUUUUUCCCUUACUGUGCUAGCCUUUAUGUUCCUCACUCCAACCCUUUCUAUGCUUCAGUUUUCUCACCUUAAAAUCUUCCAGUUCUAACUCUCUUUUCAAAUUUGAGUAAAUCACUCGGCUUCCCCAAUCCUUGGAAUGGCAUAGCAGUGUAUGGGCAUGAGCACAACCUCUAGAGCCAGACCAUCUGACUUUGAGUCCUGGUUCUGCCACUUAGCAGCUGACUGAGAGGAACAACCUCUUGAUUUCUUUGUUGGUAGAAAAGGGGGUUUAACAAUAACUAAAUCACAGAGUUUUUAGAAGGAUUAAAUGAAUGUAAAUACAUGUAAAGUACUUUUUAAAUGCCUGGCAUAUCAUAAGUAUAUAUAACUGUAAGCUCUUAAUAUAAGUUCCACUAUUUUCCCAUGGACAGUAGGGGAAAUUCAUACAUGGAGUUUGGAAGGGCAAUGACACUGUUUGAUCCUCCCUCCCUAGUUCCCCUAAAAAUUCAUGUGUCAUCAGCAGCAACAACAGUAGCAAACUCUGUCCCAUGGCAAUAUUAUAAGCUUUUGACCACCUCCCUACACCUCUGGAGUUUAGCCAGGUUAUGUGGGUCUCCUUGCCCUGCUUCCAGCCUGGCCUGCCCCUGCUCCACCACCCACCUUCCGAACUGAGAGCAACAGCCCUGCACUUGACUUUCCUGUGGCCUGCCACAGCCUUGGACUCGUAGAGACUUUCCCAGCAGUUUGUCACAUCUCUGGCCUCCUCUUUGUUUUGUGAAACCUUGACCUUUUCUUUCCUCUGUGUGGUGACAAACCACACAGAGAGCUCAGAGAGCUCAUAAAAGCCUCAAUCUUAA